AGAGUUUGAUCAUGGCUCAGAUUGAACGCUGGCGGUAGGUUUUAUCCAUGCAAGUCGAGCGGUAACAGACAUUUUGAUUCAGCUUGCUGAAUCUUGUGCUGACGAGCGGCGAACUGGUGAGUAACGCGUAGGAAUCUACCCAGUAGCGGGGGAUAGCCCGAGGAAACUCGGAUUAAUACCGCAUACGCCCUAAGGGGGAAAGGGGGCAUCUUUGGUGCUCUCACUAUUGGAUGAGCCUGCGUAAGAUUAGCUUGUUGGUAGGGUAAUGGCCUACCAAGGCAACGAUCUUUAGCUGGUCUGAGAGGACGAUCAGCCACAUUGGGACUGAGAUACGGCCCAGACGUCUACGGACGGCAGCAGGAAAGAAUAUUGGACAAUGAGGGAAACCUUGAUCCAGCCAUACCGCGUGUGUGAAGAAGGCCUUAGGGUUGUAAAGCACUUUAAGCGAGGAAGAAGGAAAGUAAAUUAAUACCUUACUUUUUUGACGUUAAUCGCAGAAUAAGUACCGGCUAACUCCGUGCCAGCAGCCGCGGUAAUACGGAGGGUACAAGCGUUAAUCGGAAUUACUGGGCGUAAAGCGCGCGUAGGCGG
This 591-nucleotide ribosomal RNA is filed under the name uncultured bacterium. Its description in RNAcentral is "bacterial SSU rRNA". It matches the Rfam family "Bacterial small subunit ribosomal RNA", at positions 8 to 578 of the family's 1533-position model. The record is from RNAcentral.